UGGAGGCUGAUGGGGGCAGCCAGGCCCGUGGUGGCCGAGCCUGGGGCCUGGGCCUGACAAUGGUAAGCUCCAGCUUGGCUCGAAGCAAUGGCUGCAAAAUGGAGCAUGGCCGAGGUCGACUCCUGGAGGGGCUGGCCAUCCCGGUACCAGCGGUAUGAGGUCCCCUCAGGGAUUCCUGCGGGUACCUGGCAGCUCAGAACCACGGCCUGGCCCUCCUGAAGCUCGGGUGAUGGAGACACCUGGACCCAAGCUCCUGCAGGGAGAAACCGAGAGCAGGUGUGGGCUCUUGCCCUAACCUCCCGCAGUCUGGGGCUGUGUGUGUCCACAUGGGGACUGCAUGUCCCCACCUGGGCCUGGAGGGUCAGCCUGGAGCCACAGCUCCCAGAGGACCACCUCCGAGGCCUGCCUCAGCCCCAAGCUUCCACCAGCUCCGUGGCACUGGGCUCUGCCCUGGAACUCACCUCCUGCCACCUGGAGUCACGGUUUUGCUUUGCCAAUCGUAUCUCACCUACCCGCGGAUAAGCCUCGAGAGGGCCAGGCUUGUGUAACCUGCAACCCCGUGCCCGCACGUGGCUGACUCUCAACAAAGGGCUGAAAAGGACUCAUACUUCUGCACAAAAUCCACACCACCCAGGCCAAAGUCUGCCAGAGUAGCCUUCAGGACAUCGGGGUCUGCCACAUCUCCAGAGGACGGAUACUCACCUCGGACCUGAAAGAACAGCGAGGUGUUGGCUGAUCCAAGAAUGUUGGUGGCCUCACAGCGGUAGCUGCCGGAGUCCCCAAGGCCCAGCUCUCGGACCUCCAGCUGCAGGGAGUUGGCGGAUGCCUUGGCCCGGAGCCGACCACGAGACGGGAGCUGGGGUCCUGGGCUGGUGGCCAGAAGGCGCGCCCCGUGGAACAGUGCCAGCUGAGCCGGGGGGCGACUAUCCACAGAGCAGACAAACAAGGCCAUGUGGCCCUGGUCCACGUCCAGGAGGGCUGACAGCUUUGGAGAUUCCGGCGGAUCUGCAGGGACACGGAGCACACUCAGCAGCACGGGGGUGGAGAGCUGGGCACCAGCCUCAGUGAGGAUGCGGCAGGCAUGGAGGGCAGCAUCGGUUCUGGCCACGGGCAGCAGGGUCACAGUCUCCAGAGGGCCCUGGGCCCACAGCGUCCCGUCCCGGAACCAGGAGAAGUUGGCAGGGCCGCUGGCUUCCCGGCUCACGUUGCACGUCAGGUCUCGAAUCUCCAGGCGCAGGGAGUUGGGAGCAGACGAGAUGCUGAAGCGUGGGCUGUGGUCACCCUCUCCGGAGGUGGAAGCCAGGAUGAGGUCCCCAUGUGACAGCACCAGAGUGGCCACGGGCUCGCUGACCACGGAGCAGUGGAGGAUGCCCACCAGACCCGCCUGCGUCUCAAGGAAGGCGGUCAGGUACGGGGCCUGGGGCGGGUCUGGGUAGAGAUGAGGGGUGGCCUGUCACCCUCCGAUGGGACACUCCCUGGAUCUCCCUUUAAAGCCUGUGACCCCUGCACCUCCUUUACCCCACAAUGCCCCGGGAGAAAGGGGUGACCCCAGCAGCUCCUGAGCGCCUGCUGAAUACCAGCCACUGAGCUGGGCAAGUCACUGUGACAUCCCAGUCCAUCCCGUGGCAACCCUGCAAGCAGGUAUCAGGGCCACUUGAAACAUGGGAAGACUGUCAGAGAGACCCGGCUGUCAGCACUUUAACCAAGCCACCAAAGGGAGCAUUUUCCACAGCGGGACAGAGGGACAUUGCACGCCUCCUGACCUGAAGCACAAGACACACAAUAUCACGCCUGCCAUAUUCCUCCCACACAGCCCCGGUGUGUUCUGGUCAGACAAACCCAGAUCGAGGGACAUUACACACACAACUGGCCUGCAUUCUUCAAAUUUCAAUGUCAAGAAAGACAAGGAAUGUUCUUUUUUACUUUUAUUUUUAUUUUUAUUCUUAUUCAUAGUUUUUGGAGUCAUGAAGAUGUAUGAAAAAAUUGUAGUGAUGAAUGCACAACUCUGUGAUGGUAUUGUGAACAACUGAUUGUACACUGUGGAUGAGUGUGUGGUAUGUGAAUAUAUCGCAAUAAAAUUGCAUUUGAAAAAACAAGACAAAGGAAGCGCAAGCACUGUUCCAGAUUGAAAGAGAGUAAAGAGACAUGACGACUGAAUAAGGUGUGGAUUCCUGGACCAGAAGAAAAUAAUUGUUAUAAAGGACAAUUUUGGGACAACUGGUAAAAUUUGAAUGUAGACUGUAGAUUACAUAAUAGUGUUGAAUCAACGUUAAAUUUCCUGAUCGUCAUCAUUGUACUGUGGUUAUGUAAGAGAAUGACUUUAGGAAAUAUAAGCUGAGGAAUUCAAGGGUAAAGGGGCAUCAUUUGUGCAACUUCUUUUCAAAUGUUUCUGGAAA
Long non-coding RNA from Choloepus didactylus (southern two-toed sloth), 2396 nucleotides. RefSeq lists it as uncharacterized. NCBI's taxonomy places the organism in Eukaryota, Metazoa, Chordata, Mammalia, Pilosa, Megalonychidae. The record is from RefSeq and is a predicted model, not a curated record. The transcript has 4 exons.